RNAcentral lists this ribosomal RNA (433 nucleotides) under uncultured bacterium. Its description in RNAcentral is "partial 16S ribosomal RNA". It matches the Rfam family "Bacterial small subunit ribosomal RNA", at positions 29 to 507 of the family's 1533-position model. The record is from RNAcentral.
AACGAACGCUGGCGGCAUGCCUAACACAUGCAAGUCGAACGAGACCUUCGGGUCUAGUGGCGCGCGGGUGCGUAACGCGUGGGAACCUGCCCUUAGGUUCGGAAUAACUCCCCGAAAGGGGUGCUAAUACCGGAUAAUGUCUUCGGACCAAAGAUUUAUCGCCUUUGGAUGGUCCCGCGUUGGAUUAGCUAGUUGGUAGGGUAAAAGCCUACCAAGGCGACGAUCCAUAGCUGGUCUGAGAGGAUGAUCAGCCACACUGGGACUGAGACACGGCCCAGACUCCUACGGGAGGCAGCAGUGGGGAAUAUUGGACAAUGGGCGAAAGCCUGAUCCAGCAAUGCCGCGUGAGUGAUGAAGGCCUUAGGGUUGUAAAGCUCUUUUACCCGGGAUGAUAAUGACAGUACCGGGAGAAUAAGCUCCGGCUAACUCCGUG